UGGGGAAUUGUUCGCAAUGGGCGCAAGCCUGACGACGCAACGCCGCGUGGAGGAUGAAGAUCUUCGGGUCGUAAACUCCUGUCGAGCGGGACGAACGGCCCGGGGCCCAACAGGCCUCGGGAGUGACGGUACCGCUAAAGGAAGCCCCGGCUAACUCCGUGCCAGCAGCCGCGGUAAUACGGGGGGGGCAAGCGGUGUUCGGAAUUACUGGGCGUAAAGGGCGCGUAGGCGGCCUUCUAAGUCAGACGUGAAAUCCCUCGGCUCAACCGGGGAACUGCGUCUGAUACUGGAGGGCUUGAAUCCGGGAGAGGGAUGCGGAAUUCCAGGUGUAGCGGUGAAAUGCGUAGAUAUCUGGAGGAACACCGGUGGCGAAGGCGGCAUCCUGGACCGGCAUUGACGCUGAGGCGCGAAAGCCAGGGGAGCAAACG
RNAcentral lists this ribosomal RNA (428 nucleotides) under uncultured prokaryote. RNAcentral describes it as "bacterial SSU rRNA". It matches the Rfam family "Bacterial small subunit ribosomal RNA", at positions 355 to 774 of the family's 1533-position model. The record is from RNAcentral.